GAGUCAGUGUGAGAUCAGUCAGAGAGGGAGUGAGUGAGAUCAGAGAGGCCUUAGGGCUGAGGUCCGGUUGGACACCAUCAGUGUGAGGUCCAGUGUUGGGCACAUUGCAGUGACCAUCCAACAGGACCAUGAAGGUCCUUGUGAUGGCUCUCGCUGCCCUCCUGCCUGUGUGCAGUGCGCUCCACAAGCCUCAGGUGUUGAGAUACUUACACACACUGGUGUCAGCGGACGGAGAACUUCCAGAGUACUACUGUGCUGUGAUGUUGGAGGAUGUUGAGAUCUAUCACUACGACAGCAACAGUGAGAGAAUUGUCAGUCGGAUUCCCGGUGUUCAGACGGCUGUUAGAGAACAGCGCUUCCCUGUACGUGUGGAGAGGGUGAAGGCAGAUUAUAUGACGGUGAAGGAGAAUAUGUUGUAUAUGAUGAAGAGGAGGAAUAUUACGAGCGGGGCUCACUAUGGCCAGGUGUUGUCUGGCUGUGAGGUGAGGGAGGACGGCACUACAGACGGACACAUCACAGUCGCGUUCGAUGGGGAAGAUUUUCUCAGCUUUGACAAAAACGACCUGAGAUGGAUUUCUGCUGCUCCCGAGGCUCAGACCCUGAGACGGAAACUGGACAACGACAGAGACAUGAAUCAGUAUUGGAAACAGAAACUGGAGAAUGAUUGUCUUAAUCGGAUGGAGGAAUACUAUCAGUAUUCAAAGUCCACCUUCCAGCGACAGAGCCGCCCUGACGUCUCAGUCAGUUACAGGAGGGACGUGGGGGGGAGAGCCCUUCUCUCCUGUCUUGUUACUGGCUUCUAUCCGCGGCCCAUCGAGGUGACCUGGACAAGGGACGGCAACACUGUCCACGAGGUGGAGUCCAGCGGUGUAUUACCCAACCACGACCACACCUUUCAGACAGUGAAGCAGAUGGAGCUGGAGACGGGCUCCGCGGGGGAGCAGGGCUUCUCCUGUCUGGUGGAGCACAGCAGCCUCCAGGGGGUGUUGGAGGUGCCGUGGGAUGGGAAAACAAAGAAAACUCCGUCCGGUUCCACUUCCUGGAUCCCGGGCCGGAUCAUUUUGCAGGCGUCUGGGAUUGUUGUUGGGAUUCUCGUCUGAAAAUGAGAAAAGGACCCGGGACUCACCAGUACAGCCGUCCAUCCAGUAAGUGAAUAACAGUGCGGCUGUACACCGGGUCAGACUACACUCUGCAAGUGGACGUGUGUGACGUGUUCUCUGCUCACCUCACUGUCAAACCCUACAAUGUGAAGAAAGCGGCCAAUCAUCCAAUGGUCAAUUAACAGAACCUGGGAGUCUCCAGUCCCACCGUCCAUCAGUCAGUGAGUAACAGUGAGGCUGAACACGUACCAAUGGACAUGAACUCAGUGACAUGUGUAAUAAAUAAACCCAGUCCCUGCUCUUUGUGAAGAGGAGCAGCGCAUAAACAUACUUUAUAUUAAUUUUUUAUACACUUUUUGUGAACAUCUUUUAUAAACUUGUGACUUUUAUAUAAAAUGAAGAGAAUUGUUGUAUUUAUAUAAAUACAAAGAAUGUUUCAUAUACAGUGUAUAUAACCGAUUAGAUUUAUUUGUAGCAUUAAAGGAAUGUGUGUGAUGUGUAACACGGCUGUACAGGAAGGUUGUGUCACCUGUAACCAGUCUGUGUAACAGCAGCUCAUGUGUGUUCUGCGCUGUGAUUCACAGAACAUUUAUUCUUUGUGAGUUUCAGCAACAAAUCAAAAUAAACUGUGACACAAAC
RNA transcript from Callorhinchus milii (elephant shark), 1739 nucleotides. It is a transcript of the gene named class I histocompatibility antigen, F10 alpha chain-like, with no coding region annotated. The record is from RefSeq and is a predicted model, not a curated record. NCBI's taxonomy places the organism in Eukaryota, Metazoa, Chordata, Chondrichthyes, Chimaeriformes, Callorhinchidae. The transcript is spliced from 8 exons.